RNAcentral lists this unclassified non-coding RNA (194 nucleotides) under Archaeorhizomyces sp. RNAcentral's name for it is "partial contains small subunit ribosomal RNA and internal transcribed spacer 1". The stretch from base 1 to 46 matches the Rfam family "Eukaryotic small subunit ribosomal RNA", at positions 1786 to 1831 of the family's 1831-position model. The record is from RNAcentral. Lineage: Eukaryota; Fungi; Ascomycota; Archaeorhizomycetes; Archaeorhizomycetales; Archaeorhizomycetaceae.
AAGUCGUAACAAGGUCUCUGUAGGUGAACCUGCGGAGGGAUCAUUAUCGAACGGGGCCUCCGGGCUACCUUCGCUCAAACCUGUGGAUACUAGAUGUGCUUCGGCGCCUCGUGCGUCGAGUCAAUGCAUCCAUGCUUCGUCGUCUGAUUAUAAAUGGAAUUUUAAAACUUUCAAUAAAGGAUCUCUUAGCUCUC